Molecule: non-coding RNA, 338 nt
Organism: Pelobates cultripes (western spadefoot toad)
Lineage: Eukaryota; Metazoa; Chordata; Amphibia; Anura; Pelobatidae
Source: the annotation of a GenBank genome assembly
GGGAGUCUUAGAUGGUAUAGGUCUCCUAGAAGUUACUGACAAAAGAAAAAUGAAUAACUGACUACCCUGGAUAGUCCAACACCCUCAUAUAUCUAAACUAGUUGUUUCUCAGUGGGCAGACCCCUGGGGGGGAUCAGAGGGGGCUGGUCUGGCAGUCUAUUGCCCACUCUAUGAAAUUCCUUGUGUCCAGCUCUGGUGAUGGCUAUCUAGAUGUUUUAUGGUCUAGGCCUGGUGCAAGAUCAAAGACCACAAUAAAUGUCAUCCCAAGGUUUACAAAAAAACAACUCUUAACAUAUAUAAACACACAUCAAACACCAACUCAUGCUUUUGGCAUGACA